CUCAAUGAAAUUAAAUAGCCGCAAUAUUUUGUGCUAAGGUAGCAUAAUCAUUUGUCUUUUAAUUAAAGACUAGAACGAAAGAUUUAAUAUUUUUAUUUCUUUCUAAUAUAUAAAUAUUUAAUUUAUUUCAAAUAUAAAAAAAUAUUUAUUUUUAAAGAAGACGACAAGACCCUAUUGAACUUAACUAAAGUUAAACUGGGGUAGUUAAUUAAAUAUAAUUUUAAUUUAAAUUUUAAAAACAACCUAAUACAAUUAAAAUUAUCAAGUUACCAUAGGGAUAACAGCGUAAUAAUUUUCCUAAGUUCUUAUUAAAAAAAUUGUUUGCGACCUCGAUGUUGAAUUAAUAAUCUAUUAAAUGCAAUAACUUAAUAAGAAAGUCUGUUCGACUU
This 389-nucleotide ribosomal RNA is filed under the name Draconarius sp. SD001. Its description in RNAcentral is "partial 16S ribosomal RNA". The record is from RNAcentral. Lineage: Eukaryota; Metazoa; Arthropoda; Arachnida; Araneae; Agelenidae.